Molecule: long non-coding RNA, 243 nt
Filed under: Theobroma cacao (cacao)
Lineage: Eukaryota; Viridiplantae; Streptophyta; Magnoliopsida; Malvales; Malvaceae
Description: long non-coding RNA (TCAC_LNC003061)
Source: RNAcentral
UAACAUUGUCUUGAAAUGAAAUGAUGGUUUGAAAAUAGAGUAAUUAGAGACUGUUUUCAUGUGUUGUAAAUUCAUGGUUUGAAUCGAAUGGCUUAUGACAAUAUUUGCAUGAAUGACUGAAUUGGUAUUUUUGUUGAAAUAUAUGAACUGUGUAUUUAGCCUUGAGAGGCUGGAUUGUGAUAUAAUUGCCAUGUCAUGCGGUUGAGAUUUUAUUGAAUUGGUGGGUUUAGCUUGCUGCAGUGG